UUAAAUUGAAGAGUUUGAUCAUGGCUCAGAUUGAACGCUGGCGGCAGGCCUAACACAUGCAAGUCGAACGGUAACAGGAAGCAGCUUGCUGCUUUGCUGAC
RNAcentral lists this ribosomal RNA (101 nucleotides) under Escherichia coli. Its description in RNAcentral is "partial 16S ribosomal RNA". It matches the Rfam family "Bacterial small subunit ribosomal RNA", at positions 1 to 96 of the family's 1533-position model. Lineage: Bacteria; Pseudomonadati; Pseudomonadota; Gammaproteobacteria; Enterobacterales; Enterobacteriaceae. The record is from RNAcentral. RNAcentral also lists the same sequence under 10 other names.